Vollenhovia emeryi is the source of this 457-nucleotide long non-coding RNA. RefSeq lists it as uncharacterized. The record is from RefSeq and is a predicted model, not a curated record. The transcript has 3 exons. Lineage: Eukaryota; Metazoa; Arthropoda; Insecta; Hymenoptera; Formicidae.
GGCACUAGUCAGAUUUAAUACUGGGGCAUAGGAUAUCGCGUUUAAACUCGGGAUUUUUACGUUUCGGGACUUAGAAUUUUUACGCGCCUUCUUAAAGUCGCGCUGCAGCGUCGUCACGAAUGACACUCUAUCGACUUAAAAACUACAAGGCGUCGUCAGAAUAAAUAUGUGGACAUAGGAUAUCGCGUUUAAACUCGGGAUUUUUACGUUUCGGGACUUAGAAUUUUUACGCGCCUACUUGAAAGUCGCGCUGCAGCGUCGUCACGAAUGACACUCUAUCGACUUAAAAACUACAAGGCGUCGUCAGAAUAAAUACGAGAGCAUAGGAUAUCGCGUUUAAACUCGGAAUUUUUACGUUUCGGAACUUAUAAUUCUUACGCGCCUACUGAAAGUCGCGCUGCAGCGUCGUCACGAAUGACACUCUAUCGAAGUAAAACUUACGAGAUAUUGAUAAAUU